This is a small nuclear RNA of Macaca mulatta (Rhesus monkey), 105 nucleotides long. Lineage: Eukaryota; Metazoa; Chordata; Mammalia; Primates; Cercopithecidae. The record is from Ensembl.
ACUUGCUUCAGCAGGACAUAUACUAAAAUUGGAAUGAUAGAGAGAAGAUUAACAUAGCCCUUGCACAAUGAUAACAUGAAAAUUCAUGAAGCAUUUUAUAUAAAU